GGGUGUUGCAAGCGCCCCUUCCGGCACUUGAGGCAUUGGGGCCUGUCUGGUUCUUUGGCCAGCCUGGGCUCUGGAGCCCUCAUCCACCCUGCGCCUGGUCUCCCUCUCCAACGCAACGCCUCCCACCCCAUUUCCGCGAAGGCUGCUCACCGGGUGUGCCCCAAGUUGCGCGCCCCGUCCCGGAACGCAGGCGCGGCUGUGCAGGCCCGGCUGUGCAGGCCCCCGGCUGGCUCCUCGGGGAGGAGGCGGCUGUCCUGCAGGAGGCGCGCUCCGGGCUGAGACCUGGGGCAGGAGCGCGUCACGGCGGGCGGGUGGGGCUGGCGGGAAGACCGCGAGGGAGGGCGCGUCUGGGGGCACCGGUGACCCGCGGGUGGGGGUAGAAAGCUUGGGCCGAGCCAGCGACGGGGAGAGUCGGCGAGUCCGCUUCAGAGUCCAGGCUGUGACAGGAGGGCAGGGGCCUGCAGGGAGCCUUAGGUGCGGCGCCGGCCCCCGGGAGCGGCAGGUACCGCGCGGCGCGACCCCGGGACCUCGGGCGCCGCGGGAGGGAGGCAGGGAGGGGCCCCAGCGAGGAGCCCAGCCCACCCGAGCAGGGUCAGGGUCACCCGAGGCGGCACCCGCGGAUCCCGGGCCACCACGCCGGCAGGAAGCCGUCCCAGGACCCAAAGGUUUCCAUGAGGAUGGAGUCUCUGAAGACAGAACUGGGCUUUGAUCAUUUCAGUGGAUGGAUGCCACAGCUUUCCAAAUCUGGCCAUGGAAAGAAUACCUCACUUCCAGCCAAAGGCCCUGCAUUCUCCCACACUGUCCACACUGGACAAGGGAGGAGACAUAGUCACAGGGCAUAUGCCACACACAAAAGAAGGUCAGAGGCUCUUGACUGACAUUUUCCAGGAAUAAGAUUUUGGUGGUUUGAAAAACUAU
Molecule: long non-coding RNA, 918 nt
Organism: Heterocephalus glaber (naked mole-rat)
Lineage: Eukaryota; Metazoa; Chordata; Mammalia; Rodentia; Bathyergidae
Source: Ensembl